Molecule: transfer RNA, 73 nt
Filed under: bacterium
Lineage: Bacteria
Description: tRNA-Arg
Rfam family: tRNA
About the family: Transfer RNA (tRNA) molecules are approximately 80 nucleotides in length. Their secondary structure includes four short double-helical elements and three loops (D, anti-codon, and T loops).
Source: RNAcentral
GCUCCUGUAGCUUAACGGGAUAAAGCAAGUCCGUCCUAAGGACAAGAUGCAGGUUCAACUCCUGCCAGGAGCA